This 4247-nucleotide long non-coding RNA is filed under the name Lynx pardinus (Iberian lynx). Lineage: Eukaryota; Metazoa; Chordata; Mammalia; Carnivora; Felidae. The record is from RNAcentral.
CCCAGGGUUGUCCAGGGAACAGCGUUGCCGGAGGCCUAUGGGAGGCAGCGGGGACGUGCACGGCCGUGUGAAGCAGGGCGAUGGCCUGAAGGACCAACCGGGAGUCCCGAAAAGCUGACCGUGGGUGAGGUUGUUGAGCAGAGCAGAGCCCCUGCCCUCGGCUGACUUCCGCCAAGGGUUGUGUGACGGGCCCGUUGGCUUUCGUUGCAGACGAUUGAGCAAGAUACGGCUGGGUGAGUUUGCAGAUCUGAUUGGCCUUAUUCGGCGGUUCCCGAGCGGGACAGCGUCCUAUCCCGCCAGUGGCAAGGAGCUCUGAGGCGCUGUAGAAAACGGGAGGCUCUCGUAGACCUAAGUGGGCCAGAAAAAGGAAGUUUCUAGCAAAGGGUGGCUUCUUUUCAAGCGAGGUCACCUUCCUCUAGCGAGAGACAGGCGUCUGUCAGCCAGAUAACCUCACUAGUGCUAACCAGGUAGCUCUAGAUGACUAGUUAAAUUAGGUCUCGUUCCCGGGAGGGGCUGAAACCGCAGUUAGCUUAGGUAUGAAGCCUUGGAUCGCUGACAAAGGUUUAGCACAAGUGACUCCCAUUUGGGGCCUUUUGUUCUUUUUUUAACGUUGCUGAAACUUUACAACAGCAGUGUCCGUAGUGUACUUGAGGCCUGUAGUCGGGGACAGACUGCUGAGGCCUCACGGCCUGGAAGUGGAGGAGCCAAGGCUGAACCUAGACAUCAGCCCGACCAACCUGCAGACCCUCAACCAGGUGGCUUUUGCACCCUGAGAAGUGAGCCAACGGGACCACCCUCUCUCCGUGCCCUUGGGAGUCACCCAAACCUUGAGGACGCUCCCUUUUGUCACUGCUGUUCGCUCAAGAUACUGGUGACCCUGGAGGGCGGGGCCGGGUGCUUCCCAGUCUCCCCUCCUGACUGGGGCAGAACUGGCUGGCGUCUCGAGCCUGUUACACGAGGGACAGGAGGGCCUCAGGCAGAGCCGGGAAGAAGAGAAGCAGUGGGAGGGAGGGGCCUGGAAGCCGGAACUGGAAGGAGGGCGGGAGAAAUGUGCCAGGACCCCAGGAGAACCACCCGCAGCUUGAUCCAUUCGGUUCAACAAGAAUCCGUCAAACACCCGCUCGCUCCAGGCGCUGAGGAUCUAGCAUUAAACAGAAGAGGUAGACAUCCUCGCCCUCCUCGAACUUCCCUUCCAGUGCAGGAGGGAGACCAUAAACAGAGUAAACGUUCACACCGUGUUCGAAGUGAUGCAGGCUACUGGGAAAAACCAAAACUGAGAAAGGGUCUAAGAGGUGGGGACAACUUUACGCAAGGGGCAGGGUAGGCCUUACUGAGAAGGUGACUUGGAAGGCAGUGAGGGAAGAGCUUCCAGGCAGACGGCGCAGUGCGUGCAAGGGACCCGCGGUGGGAGGGAACCUGCAGCGGAGUGUGGCUUUGAGGAGUAGGCAGGCAUCAGAGAGGUAACAGGUGGCCACAGAAAGGGCUUGGAAUUUUAACUGAGAUGAGGCCGUGGAAGGGUUUUAAGACAGGCUCCGCCCCCACAUGAGCUUCUUUGCUGUUCUUGCCAGCUUCCCUCCAGAGGCAGGAAGGCAUUAUGCCUUCUGUCCCCAAAACCACAUUGGCGUCUCUGUCAUCUUUGCCCAGGACGGGCAGCAACCCUGUUCUUCCACUUGGUUCUCCUGUCCCUGACCCCCACUCUAGGCUGUGGAAUCUUCAUGGGGAAAACCUGGCCCUGACCAGUCUGUCUCCCUCUGCAUCGUUCAUUGCCCAGGUAUCUGAGCUCCGAGGCUGCCACACAGGGUGUGCACAUGCUAAGGUAGCCGGUGGGAGCGAAAGCGCCACACGGUGUGUCCUAACACCCAGAGCUGGGCUCUCAGAGGGUCAGCAAUGAUGUGGGAGGCCUAUGCAGCACCUCCAGGAGGGGGUCGGCUUUCGUCCUGGGGACCCCACCUGUCACUUGUGUCCCCAGCCUUGAAGUGGGACUAUAUUUCCAUCAUUAGCCCCAGUGUCCAGAAAAUUGGGCGUUCCCAGGUCUCAAAAAGCUUGUGGUCUGGGAUGGAGCACCUGGGUGGCUCAGUCAGUGAAGCAUCCCGACUCGGUUUUGGCUCAGGUCAUGAUCUCAUGGUUUCAUGAGUUCAAGUCCCGCAUCAGGCUCUGCACUGACAGUGCAGAGCGUGUUUGGAAUUCUCCCUCUCUCCCUCUCUUUCUUUCUGCCCCUUCCCCUGCUCAUGCUGCCUCUGUCUCUCAGAAUAAGUCAACGAACCUUAAAAAAGAAAACAAAGCUUGUGGUCUGGGAGCAUAAUUAAGGCGCUGGAACCAUGGGCCCAGAGGUACAGUGUUCACAGCACAGGGAGGGCCUGCAGCUGUGCAGACUGUGUGGCCACUUCUCGCAGCCUUUCCCCGACUCCCACAGCCACCCACCAGCAGCAUCAGGAUGUCUGGUCCCCAAGAGGAGGGGCUCACUGGCAGAUUCGGUCAUCACAGUAUCCCUUGCCUGACUGUCUCUUUUAUUUUCAAGUCAGGUGCUUUAACAAGAGUAUCUGGGAAACACAGUGGGAGCAUUUUUAUUUUAUUUGUUUACUUUUUAAAGUAAGGCUCCACACCCAACAUGGGGCUCGAGCUCAUGACCCUGAGAUCAAGAGUCGGAUGCUGUACCGACCUAGCCAGCCAGGUGCCCCGAUACGUUAUUAUUUACUAAAGCCCAUAAUUCGGAUUUUCUUAGUUUUUCUUGGUGUCCUUUUUUGGUGCCAGGAUCCCAUCAAGGGCACCGCAUCACAUGAAGUUGUGCGCCUCACUUUCUUCUGAAGGUGCAGUAUUGAGAGGAGGCUAAAGCAGCACAAAACUGCCGACCUUUUCCUCGGCUUUAAGUCUGGGUAAACGCUAGGGCUGGGGCUGCAUUUGGGUUUUGGUGUUCUGCCUGACAGGUGUCAGCUGAGUGGGGCUCUUGGGUCCUUUGCAAAAGGAAGGGCACUGAGGAGAAGCCCCACACCCCAGACUGUCCCCUCUCAGAACCACCCCUCGGGCUGGGGGUGAUGGGGAGUUAUGGUUUAAUGGGUUGCAGAUUUCUGUUUGGGAUGAUGGAGACAUUCUGGACAUGGAUGGUGGUGAGUGAGGGCUGCACAAAUUUACAGAUUUCCUUAGUGCCCCUGAUUGCACACUUAAAAAUGGUUCACAUGGUAAGUUUUAUGUAUUUUCACCACAAUUGGUUUUAUGUCUUUUUAACGUUUAUUUGAGAGAGCGUGUGUGCAUGCACAGGGGAGGGGCAGAGAAAGAGGAAGAGUGAGAAUCCCAAGCAGGUUCUGGGCUGUCCGUGAAGAGCCCAGUGCGGGGCUUGAUCCCACGACCAAGAUCACGACCUGAGCCAGUAUCAAGAGGCGGACGCUUAAGCCACCGAGCCACCCAGGCGCCCCCACGAUUUGUUUUAAAGCUGAAGAAACGAAGAUGCAAUUUAAACAAGACUUCUCCUUGCUUUUCGGUAAAGGAAGCCUGUGUCUUUCACCACAGAAUGAAGCUGUCCCUUGAAGGCCUUCUGUUCCCCAAGUCGGCUUCCUCCACAGACCUGGGACCUGCCAUCGGUGCGGAUGGGGCUCGGGCACCGUCACCUUUACUGUUACCACUAAUGGCGGCAGUAGGACAGCCUGUGAUUGAUCACUCCCUGUGCCGGCAGCCUUGCCACUUGACCUCACACAGCCCCAGGGGCGGUUCUGCUCACGGGCCUCAUUUACGGAAGGCCACGUCAGCACAGAGGUUAAGGGACCCACCCGCGGUCACACAGCUGGUGGCAGCAGUGGCAGGAUGCUGCGUGAGCCGGGCCUUUCUCGCCACCCACUGCGGGGCCAGUGAGGCAGCCCAAACUGCAAAGCCAUCCUCCUAGCCGACGUGUCCUUCGACAGGCCGGGGGCAUGGGGGAGGGGGGCGGAGUGAGGCUGGUGUGUGGCUGCAGAAUACUCCCUCUGGUCAAAACAAGGACUGGCAAGAGGGACUGGCCGCCUUCCGUAAAAGCAAAACAAACGACGGGGAGCCUGGGUGGCUCAGUCAAUUGAGCUUCCGACGUCGGCUCAGGUCGUGAUCUCAAGGUUUGGCCCAGAGCCUGGAGCCUGCUUCGAUUCUGUGACUCCCUCUCUCUGCCCCUCCCCCAUUGCACUGGCUCUCUCAAAAAUAAACAAACAUUUUAAAAAACCCUGCGAUAACAGCCCUGUUUAUCAAACACGUGGCUCCCGUUCUAGAUAGUGCUCUCCAAGUAUCCC